GUACACGCUGUGACUAGCAUAUCAAUAAGCGGAGGAAAAGAAACUAACAAGGAUUCCCCUAGUAACGGCGAGUGAAGCGGGAAGAGCUCAAAUUUGAAAUCUUAAAGGGUUUCCCUUUACGAAUUGUAGUUUAAAGAAGUGUUUUCUGUUGAGGUUUUGGUAAAAGUUCUUUGGAAUAGGACAUCAUAGAGGGUGAGAAUCCCGUAUUUGACCUUUACUUUCAACUUUGUGAUACACUUUCAAAGAGUCGGAUUGUUUGGGAAUGCAGUCCAAAAUGGGUGGUAAAUUUCAUCUAAAGCUAAAUAUUGGCGAGAGACCGAUAGCGAACAAGUACCGUGAGGGAAAGAUGAAAAGAACUUUGAAAAGAGAGUUAAACAGUACGUGAAAUUGUCAAAAGGGAAGCGUUUGACACCAGUGUUGUUUUUCUGAAAAUCAAUUAAAGAGCUGUUUAUGCUAAGUUGUUUAGACUUUAUCAGCUAACUGUUUAGUUUUGAGCUUUUCUUUAAUGCACUUUUCAGUUAACAAGUCAACAUCAAUUUCUUUUGCUGUAAAAAAGCUUGAGGAAGGUGGCUUGAGAUUCGUCUUAAGUGUUUAUAGCCUCUUGCCUAUGCAGUCGGAGAGAUUGAGGUCUGCAGCGUAGAUCCUUCGGGGCUAAAUGCAUUUGUGCUAAGUUAUAGCAUUUUAUAGACAACUUGUUGACUAUGAUUUGUCUUGUAGCUUACUCGCUUAUGUUAUUUUACCUACGCUUAGGAUGUUGACUGAUAUGUAGUCGUA
Molecule: ribosomal RNA, 774 nt
Filed under: uncultured Neocallimastigales
Lineage: Eukaryota; Fungi; Neocallimastigomycota; Neocallimastigomycetes; Neocallimastigales
Description: partial large subunit ribosomal RNA
Rfam family: Eukaryotic large subunit ribosomal RNA
Source: RNAcentral